CCUUUUUUUAUUAAAAAAGACACAAAAGAGCGUCGGGUAUGUUAUAAUACGGAAUAGCCGGCGGGCAAUCUGCAGUGCGUAGGGGUCCUGCGCAACAGGGCGCUGUGAACCAUGUCAGGACCGAGAGGUAGCAGCAUUAAGCGGUUAGCAAUGUGUGCCGCAGACAAGCCUCUGCGUACUGCAGAUAGUCCGACGGUUUUUUUAUAAGG
RNAcentral lists this signal recognition particle RNA (209 nucleotides) under Candidatus Crickella caballi. RNAcentral's name for it is "signal recognition particle sRNA large type". The stretch from base 79 to 178 matches the Rfam family "Bacterial small signal recognition particle RNA". The record is from RNAcentral. Lineage: Bacteria; Bacillati; Bacillota; Clostridia; Peptostreptococcales; Anaerovoracaceae.